This 900-nucleotide ribosomal RNA is filed under the name Shigella flexneri. RNAcentral describes it as "partial 23S ribosomal RNA". It matches the Rfam family "Bacterial large subunit ribosomal RNA", at positions 1 to 942 of the family's 2925-position model. Lineage: Bacteria; Pseudomonadati; Pseudomonadota; Gammaproteobacteria; Enterobacterales; Enterobacteriaceae. The record is from RNAcentral.
GGUUAAGCGACUAAGCGUACACGGUGGAUGCCCUGGCAGUCAGAGGCGAUGAAGGACGUGCUAAUCUGCGAUAAGCGUCGGUAAGGUGAUAUGAACCGUUAUAACCGGCGAUUUCCGAAUGGGGAAACCCAGUGUGAUUCGUCACACUAUCAUUAACUGAAUCCAUAGGUUAAUGAGGCGAACCGGGGGAACUGAAACAUCUAAGUACCCCGAGGAAAAGAAAUCAACCGAGAUUCCCCCAGUAGCGGCGAGCGAACGGGGAGCAGCCCAGAGCCUGAAUCAGUGUGUGUGUUAGUGGAAGCGUCUGGAAAGGCGUGCGAUACAGGGUGACAGCCCCGUACACAAAAAUGCACAUACUGUGAGCUCGAUGAGUAGGGCGGGACACGUGGUAUCCUGUCUGAAUAUGGGGGGACCAUCCUCCAAGGCUAAAUACUCCUGACUGACCGAUAGUGAACCAGUACCGUGAGGGAAAGGCGAAAAGAACCCCGGCGAGGGGAGUGAAAAAGAACCUGAAACCGUGUACGUACAAGCAGUGGGAGCACGCUUAGGCGUGUGACUGCGUACCUUUUGUAUAAUGGGUCAGCGACUUAUAUUCUGUAGCAAGGUUAACCGAAUAGGGGAGCCGAAGGGAAACCGAGUCUUAACUGGGCGUUAAGUUGCAGGGUAUAGACCCGAAACCCGGUGAUCUAGCCAUGGGCAGGUUGAAGGUUGGGUAACACUAACUGGAGGACCGAACCGACUAAUGUUGAAAAAUUAGCGGAUGACUUGUGGCUGGGGGUGAAAGGCCAAUCAAACCGGGAGAUAGCUGGUUCUCCCCGAAAGCUAUUUAGGUAGCGCCUCGUGAAUUCAUCUCCGGGGGUAGAGCACUGUUUCGGCAAGGGGGUCAUCCCGACUUACCAA